ACCCUGUAAACAUAGUAGAUAAAACACAAAGGGAAUCUAACUCAUCUGACUCAUAGAUCGGUUUUAAAGAUCUGAUGAAAAAAAAAAAAAAAAAAAAAACCUGUUCCAAGGAGUCUAGGCCAGGUUUUCAAUUCAGGAACGAGGUUAGGCUGCCACCCAGGUACGCUCAGCUCCUCGCCUAGCUCCUGGCACGGAACAUCUCAAACAAGUGAGCGCCAGCUGCGUCCCGUUUGCAAACUUCCCUUCGGUGUACCGUACAGAGACACGCUAAUUACGAGCACCCGAUUUACGCACGGAAAGAAAUCCACAAUUUAGGACACAGCGCGCCUUGCGGCCCUUCUUUCACGCCCGUCUCUAUGGUUGGCAGGUGACCACUCUACACUCUGGAGGACUCAGCGAGGACAGCCUCUCCUGAGGCCCCUUUACCAGCACGUGACCGGAAGUCUGGCUUGCUAUUGGCUAGAGCCGGUAGAGCCCGCCCAACCGCCUCCUGUCAGUUCCUUUAAGUAGAAGACAGAGGCCCCCGCUCGGCCUUUCGGGGACUGUGACGCCGGACCGGCCAGGUGCGUUUGUGUUGGGCCCCGGCGGGCCGGCCCGCAGCCUGGUGGGUCGCGGGGGGCGGCCUGCAGUGAUGACAUUCCAGAAAAAUGUUCCGGCUGGGCCGAGGACGUCGGAGCUUCCUGCCCUCCUCCCCGCCCACCUUUACCCCGAAGCCUCGCAAUAAAAUGGUUUGAUCCAGCGCUGGUGUUAAGCGUCUUCGUCGUCCCGACGCGCUGCCUUUGAGCCCCCGCCGCGCCUGCGCGUGGCGCCGGGGGUCAGGCUGCAGCGCCAGAGCACGCGCUUGCGCAUAACUGGGGCCGCCCGGUUCCCCCGCCGGCGGCCCUUUUAACCGCGAGCGACACGGCGGCACCUGCAGGGGACGCGAGCGUGGGGCGGGGGCGAUUUGCGACUCCAGCCUCAGCCCUUGAAGCCGAGGCUGAAACGCCCCGGGCAGACGCGGCGAUCCUCUAGGU
Molecule: long non-coding RNA, 1013 nt
Filed under: Canis lupus familiaris (dog)
Lineage: Eukaryota; Metazoa; Chordata; Mammalia; Carnivora; Canidae
Source: RNAcentral